UUAAGGCGGUCUAUGCUUACUGUCAUAUC
RNAcentral lists this small RNA (29 nucleotides) under Bombyx mori (domestic silkworm). Its description in RNAcentral is "ovarian small RNA-9287". Lineage: Eukaryota; Metazoa; Arthropoda; Insecta; Lepidoptera; Bombycidae. The record is from RNAcentral.